Molecule: long non-coding RNA, 1476 nt
Organism: Peromyscus eremicus (cactus mouse)
Lineage: Eukaryota; Metazoa; Chordata; Mammalia; Rodentia; Cricetidae
Exons: 4
Source: RefSeq, a predicted model, not a curated record
ACCAUGGGUGGAAGCAGUGGGCUGUGGUUACUAGAGAGGCUGGCCAUAGUCCAGGAAGAUGACAGCAGCCUUGACAAUCCCAGACCACCACUGGGCUUGCUCUGGCCCAGACCAUGGAACCCAUUCCUCCUUCCCCUCGGCACAAAGAUGUCAGCCUAGCAACCCGCAGCCGGGCCCAGCCAGGAGUCUGGCCUCGGUGCCCACUGGGAGAUCCGGUCCAAGGGUAGACAGCAGUGCAGGAGACCCCUACCUCAUCUGCAUCUCCACACUGAGGCUGUGGAGGAAAUGUCCAGCGAAGGCCAGGCAGUCCACGGGGGUGAGUGUGGCGUAUAUCCAGCCUGGAAGAGAAACGCAGAGCUGUGGCUAGCUUCUAUCUUGUUUCCAUGACUGCUUUCACCUCCCCCACACACCAUGGACUCCAGCUCCUGCCAUCCCAGACCUUUGCCUCAUUGGUCCUCCCUGCUCACGACAGGGAUCAUGCUAAUGAUAAUGCUUGGGACCUGUUGGGACAUCUGGGAGUGGCCUCCUAUUUCAAGGCAAGCAGUAGGCCUGGGAGGUGCAGAGCAGCCGCCACAGUGCGAUUCCACGGAGAUGAAGACAGGAGAACCAAGCCUGCAUGGUGAUUCCUGGGCAGCUCACAGGACAGCAGCAGGCCAUGCAGAGCAGGACACCAAGUCAGGCCUUGCAGCCUCCACCCAGGGCAGAACCCCAAGUAAGGCUUCACAGUCCCCACACCAGGGUUGAACCCCGAGCCAGGCUUCACAACCCCAGGACCCCAUGCAGGAACCAGAGCCAGCUCUCACAGCCCUCACAUCAGGACGGCAUGGACCCUGAGCCAGACCCACCAAGCCCCAACCCAGAGUAGCCUGUCACCUGGUGUCUGAGAAUUCAAGCUGAUGAGGAAAAGCUGAGGCUCUUCAAAUAAUCAAGGAUAGAACAGUCUUUACAGAAGAGUCAUGCCCAAGAGAGGAAGAAACAACACAGAAUGGACAGGCAAACAUGCCCUUUUGUCGGGGUCCACAGUGGCUGCUCAAACACAAGGUGGAAGCUUUUGGAGCAUCCGUGGACAAGAAGCCUGGACACCAGGCCCCACUGAGCAUGGCAGCAUCACUACAGGUGUGUGUUAGGCACUGUAGGUGUCCUCAAAGAUGGAGGUGCACCCACUGGGAAGGGAGAGCCACAAAUUCUUGAGUGGAAAUGCAAGAAGGGCUGCAAGCUGAAGCCUACAGGAAAACACCCAGGACCCAGUGAUCUGCCAGAUGCCAUAGCAGAGACUCUGACAACCAAUCACAUGUUGGAUAUGAGAAAUUCUGGAGGACCCACCAAACUAACAAAAUGGCAGGGGUGUGAGGCUUUCACAGAAGAUGUAAAGGACAUGAAAACCAAAUGCUACCCAUGGGUCCUGUUUAAAGUCUGUAUCAAGUGGCCAAAUAUAAAGAGUCUUUUGUAUUUCUGGAGAUAAAACCCAGGACCUUG